UAAAGAUUUAUUUUUUAUUUAAUGUGUUUCAUCUGUGUAUACUCUGUGUGAGGGUGUUGGAUCCCCUGGAACUGGACUUACAGACAAUUUUGAGCUGGGUGCUAGGAAUUGAACCUGGGUCCUCUGGAAGAACAGCCAGUGCUCCAGCCAUCUCUCCAGCCCUGGAAUUAUUUUUUAAUCCACUGAUUAUUUUUUUUACUAACAUACCCAUAUUCACAAAAGCAACACUCUCCAGAUCCUGUUUUAUGCUAUUUUAUUUUUAAUUUAAAAGAGUUAUGGGGAGAUUGCUCAGUGGUUAAGAACACUGGCUGCAGAAUCUGGAAACAACCUAGAAGCCAGUCAGCUGAAGAAUGGAUUAAGAAAAUGUGGUACAUAUACACAAUGGAGUACUACUCAGCAGAGAAAAACAAUGACAUCAUGAAAUUUGCAGGCAAAUGGAUGGAACUAGAAAAUAUCAUCUUGAGUGAGGUAACCCUGACUCAGAAGGACAAACAUGGUAUGUACUCACUCAUAAGUGGAUACUAGAUAUAAAUGGAUUAAUUUAAGCUGUAAGACAGUUAGCAAGAAGCCUGGUAUGGCCAUACAGUUUGUAAGCAAUAUAAGUCUCUGUGUUUACUUGGUUGGGUCUUAGCAUCUGUAUGACUGGCAGGUGAGAGAGAUUUGUCCUGACUGUGGGCCAGGCAGAAAAACUCUAGGUACAAUGAUCCACCAUGAACAACUUGUUUUUAUCUCAGAGAUGCAGAGAUGGUUUGAAAUACACAAGUCAACAGAUUUAACAAAGCACAGAAACAGACUUAGACAAAAAGUCACCUAAUCUUCUCAAUACAUGUAGAUAAGGUCCUUGCCAAAAUCCAAUAUACCAUCAUGAUAACAGUCCAGAGAGUGUAAGACAAGAAGGACAAUACCUCAACACAAUAACAAUUAUAUAAGGAGAAACUCAGAGCCAACAUCAUCCUCAAUGGAAGAAAACAUGAGUGCAUUGAGGUGAUAAGAGACAGGUUUGUCUCUCAUCUUGAAUCCUUUUCAAUGUUGUGCUCAAUCUAUUAGCUGGAGCAAUAAAUCAGGAGAACAAAAUUAAAGGGAGACCAAUAGGAGAAUAGAAAUCAAUACUGUUUGUAUUAGUUAUGGUUUCUAUUGCUGGGAAGAGAUACCAUGACCAUGGCUACUCCUAUUAGGGAACCAUUUCAUUGGGAUGGAUUCCUGUUUCACAGGUUUUGUCCACCAUCAUCAUGGUGGGACAUGGCAGCAUGCAGGCAGACAUGGUCUUGGAUAAGGAGCUGAGAGUUCUCAUCCUGAUCAGCAAGCAGUAAAAGAGCCUGUGUCUACUCUGGGUGUAACUUGAGUACAGGAGACCUCAAAUGGCCCCCACAGAGACAAACUUCCCCCAACAAGGUCACACCACCGCCAACAAGGCCAAACCUUCUGAUAGUGACACUUCCUAUAAGCUUAUGGGGCCCAUUUGCAUUCAAAGUACCACACUGUCCAAAGAAAUUUUCCUGAUAAUAGGGUAGGCAAUUCUUUAUUUUAUAAAUAUCCUCCAAUUUCAUUUGGGAAUAUAAAUAGCAUUAACAGUUCUUAUAUAAAAGUAAUUGCUUUUGUUUUGUUAAUAUUGUGCAUCAGGUCAAAUCCUCUGAAUGUGUUUCCUUUUUUCUUUGUACCUCUUACAUAGUGAAGUGCCAUGAAAAAUGAAGGAUAGAUUUAAACUUUACUGUGCGCAAUAGAUUUGCUAUUAAAAUGUCUUUGUCUUCAAUAUAUACUACAUAGAAUUUCAAGUACACGUGUCAUAAAAUUAGGAAUUCAAGUAUGUUCUUAGAAAUCAAAUAAGACCUUUCUAACAUAUGUUACCAAUACUCCUUUUGAUAGAGUGUGUCUGACCCUAAUGGACCACAGGAAUCUUCUACAACAGGUCCCAACUCAUCCAAAAUGGACAAUGAUGCAGAAAAAAAUGUAAUAAUGCAUCAGGAGAGAACAUCUGUCAUGGAAGACCAAGAGCAUGCCUCAGAAGAGCAGAA
Molecule: long non-coding RNA, 2012 nt
Organism: Peromyscus eremicus (cactus mouse)
Lineage: Eukaryota; Metazoa; Chordata; Mammalia; Rodentia; Cricetidae
Exons: 2
Source: RefSeq, a predicted model, not a curated record